RNA transcript from Balaenoptera ricei (Rice's whale), 10356 nucleotides. It is a transcript of the gene named microtubule associated scaffold protein 2, with no coding region annotated. The transcript has 18 exons. Lineage: Eukaryota; Metazoa; Chordata; Mammalia; Artiodactyla; Balaenopteridae. The record is from RefSeq and is a predicted model, not a curated record.
CGGCUGGGGAGCCGGCUCCGCGCGCGGGGGCGUCCCUGCCCCCUCCGCCUGCGCCACCUCUGCCGGCUUCUCCCGGCAAGUUUGUCGCCCCCGCUUUGCGGACCUCCUCGGAGGAGCCAGACCUGUGGCCAAAUAGAAAACUCGAGCUGGAGGCGGAGGAGGCGGAGGAGGCGUGUGGGAAGCCGGUCCGGGAUGAGAGUCUGUUGAAGGGCAGUGCUGGCUUCUUGGACAUCUUCCUUGGCUCUUUCCCACCCAGGUACCCUGAAGAUGUGUUGGGUUGGAAUGGAAACAUUAAUACCCAAACCCCUGCUGCUGCUCAGAAAAUGACGUGCGCACAGCGAUAGGUUUCUACACCUGGAUUGUCAACUAGGGCAAAUUGUCACCAAUGGCAGUAAAACUUGUUUUCUGGGGGUCAAGGUCUCAUGGGCUAAUUGGCUCUCGUUCAGCUGUGAACCUGACAGAUAAGUCAUCCUGCUGUGUAUCAAGACAAUGCCCAGUUUCAAAACUGCUCUGAAGAUGAUGAAGGCAGGAUCGCCCAGUGAUGCUGUCAGGGGCCAACAAGCGGCUUGAGGAUCCCCUGUUCACCAGGUAGCAGCUUGAAGGAAGCCCCUUCCCAUUAAGGAGAACUGCAUGGCAGGCAGCCCCCACUGAAGGCUGGAAAAUGAGUGUCCCAGCGGCUCCUAAGAAAUCAUGUUACCCUGAGUUACGGGACCAGAGAAAUGGAGUGAAAAACAGUAACGAGAGCGUCCUACGUCUGGGAGACACCAACGCCAACCCCAUCAUGUUGGAGGUCAGCCCCUCUCCUGGUGAGCCUGUGACAUGUGCCCUGACAGAUGAAAUUGGAAAUGCAAAUUCAAGGGGGCCAGAAAGUAGUACCCGUGUCCAGAAGGAGUUUCACCCCCUUCAGGGCUUUUCGAAGGCAUCUCAGGCUGGCCCUGCCAGCCUGAAGGAUUUUAAGUUUUCUCCGAUGGCUCAGAGAGAACGGAAUGAAGAGCCCAUGCUGGAGAGAGGCACAGGUCCCCUGCAGGCCCCUCGGGGUCUUCAGGGACAAGGUCAGCCAAGUUGGAGGACUGUCACAGGUGAGGCCGGCCCAGAGGUUUCGGCUCAGAGGGAGGUUGACGUUCCCUGGCGUGUUCCCAAGGAUAAGUUGGCCAAGACCCUUGACAAUGAGGAACUGAGGAGGCAUUCUUUGGAGAGAGCCGGCAGCUCUGCCGUAGCGGUGGGCAUGCUUACCAAGGAGUGGGCUGGGGGCCUGGCCUGGCCGCUUCCACAGCCCGCAGUGUUGGGGUCCCCAGCAGCCCCCCGUCCGGUACCCAGUGGCGGGGUGGGGCCGCAGAAGACGGGGGCAGCCCCUUCUCCAGGGCUGGCUUGUCUUCCAGCUGAUGGUACCUCAGAGGGAAAGAGCUCACAUCAUCCUAAACCAUCUACCUCAGUAAUCAAGGAGACCACCCCCUUAGAGACCCAGCUGGAUGGGGGACAGGUACCCAACGUUAGCACCCAGAGCACAGAGCCUUCCGCCCACCCGGAGUGCGCUCCCAGUUCCUCUCCAGCCUCGAAAGACGCCCUGAGGAAGCCAGAAGCACAGUCAGGUGAGGGAAAGCCCGAGCCCAAGGUGGAGCUGAAACUUGUCCCGCUCAGGGCCCUGCAGGAGUUCAAGUCCACCCCGGCGGAGGGGCUGGGGUGUCCUCAGGAGGACGGCGUGUCACCCCUAGGGAGAAAGGAGCCGUGUACAGAGGAGGCACAGCAAGAAGCCUCGGCCGCUGCACGCAGCGGCCCCCAGCCGCCGGGUGUGGGAAGAGGCAGGGGCGAGCGGGAAAAGAGAGGUGAGGAGGGGUCUCUGCAGACCACGCCCAAGCCGGGCCCCGCUUCCUCGGGAGCUGCUGAGCGUCCGCCCACGGGCAGAAGUUCACCAGGCGCAGCUAGGAGACCGGGUGAAACCCCAUCCAGCAGCGUUUCACCCAGGGAGGGUCACGUCGCUUUUGUUCCUGGUGAUUCGACUGACAGCAGGCCCUCGGGUGCCAGUGAGGAGAGAGGGGUCCUGGGCGGUGGGAACGGGGACGGCGCUACGGUUUUUAAUUCAGAUGGUUCUGUUGGAGAGAGCGGAACUGGGGUCCCCGAGCCCGCCGACCCUCCAAGCAGCAGCUCAGAAGCUGGGGAAAGCACAGAGAUCGCUACAUCCGUGGCUGAGACUAGGAACCGUCUAGAGACUGCAGCGAAGACUGAAAGCACCCCCCAAGCAAGAGCAGAUUCUCUUCCCGGAGUCCCAGCGCCCCUCCACCCAGAGACAACUGUGAAUGUGGCCCGCCAGCCCGUGCAACCCAGCAGCCGUUUUCCGGACUUGGGCGCCUUGAAUGUGGACGCGGGGGUCCCCCCGGCCACCCCGCCUUCUGCCAACAGCUCCAGGUUGUCACACGCUUCCCUGAAAGUGCCUGACAAGAACCCCUGCCCUGGUGGGAUCCCCAAGCCUGGCCUCACCCGUCCCGAGGACACACCCGCCUCACAGGAGGGAACAGAGGGCCCCCAGGUUGAAAAGACAGAAGAAAGGGUGGAUCCCCGGCCCAUCGUUAUGCCCAAGCCCAAGCACGUGAGGCCCAAGAUCAUCACCUACAUCCGGAGGAGCCCUCAGGCCCUCGGCCAGGUGGACGCGUCUCUGGUUCCCGUGGGGCUACCUUAUGCCCCGCCCCCGUGUAACGUGCCUCUCCCCAAAGAGGAGAAGGCGGCAGGUGGAGACCUGAAGCCGGCCGCCAGCCUCUACGACAAGUUCAAGCCAGACCUGCAGAGGCCCCGCGUGUUCAGCUCCGGACUCGUGGUGUCUGGGAUCAAGCCCCCGGGACACCCCUUCAGUCAAAUGAGUGAAAAGUUUUUACAGGAGGUUACAGAAUGCCCUGGAAAAGAAGAAUUUUGUCCUCCUCCCUAUACUCACUACGAAGUUCCUCCAACUUUCUAUCGAUCGGCCAUGCUCCUUAAGCCCCAGCUGGGAUUGGGUGCAAUGUCACGUUUGCCAUCUGCCAGGAGUAGGAUCCUGAUCGCGAGCCAGAGGUCUUCAGCGAGCGCCAUUCACCCACCAGGAACCCUAGCGGCAGCUGCCAGCCUCUACAGCUCUGACCCUGCAGCAGAUUUAAAGAAACCUUCCAGUUCAAAUGCUGCAAAAUCCAACCUACCCAAAUCUGGACUUCGUCCUCCCGGCUACUCACGUCUCCCGGCGGCCAAGUUGGCGGCCUUUGGCUUCGUCCGGAGCUCCAGCGUGACCUCGGUGUCCAGCACCCAGCCAGUGGACAGCGCCCAGCCCGAGCCCGGCCGGCUGGCCAACCGUUCAACCUUUGGGACUGAAGACCAGCCGGCUCUGAAGGCAGCUCUGCCUUCCAAAGACACACCCAAAGGGGCUGCCCGGGUGGCCCCUCCAGCGUCCUCCAGUGUGACAACACCUCGCAGGAGUUUGCUUCCGGCGCCAAAAUCCACGACCACACCGGCCGGAACAAAGAAAGAAGUACAAAAAGAUCAAGAUGCUAAUAAACCUGCAGUUUCAUCUCCUAAGAGAACAGCAGCUUCAACCACCAAGCUUCAUUCGCCAGGAUACCCCAAGCAGAGGCCCACGGCCCCCCGCAACGGGGUCUCCCCCAAGCCGGACCCGCAGGCCCGAGAGGCCGAGCGGCAGCUGGUGCAGCGGCUGAAGGAGAGGUGCGACCAGCAGACGCGGCAGCUGGGCCUCGUGCAGGCGGAGCUGAGACGGGCCGUCCGGGGCUUCGAGGCGCUCGCCGUGUCCACUCAGCUCUUCUUUGGGAAGAAUGAAAGUGCCCUUGUGAAAGAAAAAGAGCUGUCAAUCGAACUUGCAAACAUCAGGGAUGAAGUUGCCUUCCAUGCGGCGAAGUGUGAGAAGCUGCAGCGGGAGAAGGCGGAGCUGGAGCGGCGCCGUGAGGACGAGGUGCGCAGGCGGGGCCGGCAGCAUCAGGCCGAGCUGCGCGACCUGGAACGGCGGCUGCAGCUGCAGUUCGAGACCGAGGCGGCCCAGCUCCAGGAGGAGCACCGCGCACAGCUGCUGCGGAUCGGGUGUCAGCACCAGGAGCAGGUGGAAGACAUCACCGCCAGCCAUGAGGCUGCUCUCCUAGAGAUGGAAAACAGCCACACGGUUGCCGUCUCGCUUCUGCAGGAUGACCACGACCACAGGGUGCAAGAACUGAUAUCUACCCACGAGCUUGAAAAGAAAGAAUUGGAAGAAAAUUUUGAAAAGCUGCGGCUGUCAUUACAGGACCAGGUGGACACGCUGACCUUCCAGAGCCAGUCUCUGCGGGACCGAGCCAGACGCUUCGAGGAAGCUUUGAGGAAAAACACUGAGGAGCAGCUGGAGAUUGCAUUGGCGCCUUAUCAGCACUUGGAAGAAGACAUGAAGAGUCUGAAGCAGGUAUUAGAGAUGAAGAAUCAGCAAAUACACCAGCAGGAAAAGAAGAUUAUUGAGCUGGAAAAGCUGGCAGAAAAGAACAUUAUCCUGGAAGAAAAGAUCCAGGUUCUCCAACAGCAGAAUGAAGACCUCAAAGCCAGGAUCGACCAGAACACCGUUGUCACGAGACAGCUGUCAGAGGAGAAUGCCAACCUCCAGGAGUACGUGGAGAAAGAAACGCAGGAGAAGAAGAGAUUGAGCCGAACCAACGAAGAGCUGCUUUGGAAGCUGCAAACAGGGGACCCAACCAGCCCGAUUAAACUGUCCCCCACGUCCCCCGUUCACCGAGGCUCCUCCUCCGGGCCCUCCUCUCCCGCCAGAGUCAGCAUGACGCCCAGAUGACGCCACCACGCUGCGGGUCCAGCUGCGGCGCCUGGUCCACGAGGGUUUCCGCCUCGAGGGAGUGGUGACCAGGGACCGGCCCGACUGACCCUGCGCGCGUGCCCAGUAGCUGCAUAGCUGCACCCUAGACAGAGUCCUUUUCUGAUCCUCGUGUAAGACUGUCCUGGUACUGGCACUUAGGAAAGUGUAAAUGGUAGUGUCUGAUGUGCAAACGUUUGACCGUAGUUAGAGCCAAAAGAAAGAAACGCCAAUCGUUCUUGAGCAAUGAACUUUCACUGCAGAAUAUCAGGUUAGUUACAAAUAGCUCAGUUUUGAAUAUCCAUUGAAUAAUCAUUGUGUACUGCACCGAUAUGUGUGUGUAUUUAGAUAUACGUAUAUACACAUGCAGCGGUUCUGAAUUGCAUUUUUUAUAACAUGAAGCGCUGACAUAUUUUGGUGAAGGUCAGCAGUUUUCUAACUCGUGCCUAAGAAUUAUUGGGAAAUGAAAAUGCAUUUCUAUCUACCUUCCCAGGAAUAUUUCUACCCAAAAUAGAAAAAGGAAAAAAAAAAAAAGAUACAGAGAAGAAGCGCCUUCCGACCUACCACCACGUGGUACUCUGUUUAACACAAACACCAGCCAUUCAUGAACGGUAACUGCCUUUGGAACAAUCAGCUUCUUAGUCCACAUAAUGUGAGGUCACUAUUACUCCAUCCGCAAGUUUUAAUUAUUAAUACUUCUGUCAUGAGCAGAUAAGGGGCAGCAGUGGGAAACCCUGAGGGGGUGAGGAGUUUUGCACAUGUCACUCAUGACAGUGGAUCAUCUAUAGUCUUGUAAACACAAGUUCUGCUUUUUUUUCCUAAAUGGCAUCUUGGAAUCCAUCAUUAAGCUCUUUCAUCUUCGGGAAAAUAUGGAAGCACAUGACCUUAUAGGAUGAGGGUGAGAGUGACCUUGGAGUUGGCCAAGACCAUUCACGCUCCGUCCUCAAGAAGGAAGACUGCUAAUAGGGUCUGUGUUCUGACUAAGCGUAGAGUAGGAAAGCAUACUCUGGCAUCCUAUUUGCUUUACUCUGAUGUGAUGCUGAAAAUGGUCAACUCACCAAAAUAUAACCCUCAGCCCCACUUCAUUGGCACCCCCCUUCGGUUUGGUUCUGUAACCCAACCUCAUUCCUGUACAUUGAGAAGCUCAGGGGUUCUAGCAGGGGCUUCCAGAAAACCAAUUCUUCUAUCCUGGGGGAUCAGUUCCAAGCUGUGCUAGAUUAUCACAUGACCUCCCAGAAACCCAGGUGUAUUUUCUGCUGGAUGAUCGAGCAGUGCCACAGCUGACAGAGGUCCCAUCUUUGGUCCAGGAGGUGCUUCCAAACAGAGGAAGGAGCCCGGGAAACAACCAGCCAGCGGUGGCUGGCUUCUGGACUGGCAUUUGACUCUGAAAUGGUAGAAUUAGAACCUGAGAGGUAUUCCUGUAGUGCCGUGGACGAUUAGAAGCAAGACACACAAAAGAAAGAAGCGGUUUCAACAGUUGGUAUGGUGAUGAUAGUGAUGCCUUUGUUCGCUGUUUGUGACAAAGACCCUGCACUUUCCUCCCUAAGGCCCCUCAAAAUGGUCCUGAGGACUGGCUCUGAGCAUCCCCGAGGCAGGCGGACUCAUGUAGGGAUGCUUCGUGGGCCAGAGCCACAGAGCAGGGAAGACACGGCCCACGGAAGGGGUUGGCUGGCCCAGGGCCCUGCCUGCUCUGUGAAUACGUGGCCGGCGUAAAGACAGACCUGGUCUGUGUCCCUUGCGUGAGUCAAGGUUGGGUUUCCUGGCCUCAUGUACAUCUCAUUUCUAGCAAACCGCCAGGUGUUUGCUCAUCCUGGGGACGUACACAGGAGUAUCCACUGAAGAAACAUUUUUUUCCUUUAGUGGCUCUGCAUGAUGCUGUGAUGUUGAUUUGGGCCUCCCGUUAGAGUAGAUCAUGCCACGUUGACUAAAUACACAAGUAUUUAUUCUUUUAGCAGGCACCACCUGCAGACACAAUAGCUCAGCCCUCCGAAUUAGGAACUGCUUCCCUAACGGCACUUGCUAAAUGCAGUUACACAGCAAUACAGAUAUCAGUGUUAUGUUAGAAUGUGGUCCAGUGUGUUAGCCUGUUGCAGUCAAGAGUUGUAGUGGUGUUAGAGUGAAGUCAUCCCUCACUAGGCGACUAGAGCUUGGCUCUAACCAGCCCUGACCUUGGGUACUUGAGCUAAUUCCCACCUUGCCCUGGCUUCAUUUCCCCGUCAUGGACGCCCAUCAUAUAUGGCUCCUAGCCCAGAACACGAGGGGCAGCGGCCACCGGGCCCCUUCUGCGCCUCUCCAGCCCCACACUGUUAGGACUUGGACCUCUGUCUCCCUGGCGUCCACCUCCCAGGCCAGAGCUGCUGCCACGCGGAGAUGCCGCAGCCUCCCCGCCUGCCGCUCACAGACCCGCCGAACCGCACCAACCUCUUCCUGCACAGCCGCUUAACAGAGGGGCGCUGGCGCCCGGCCCACGGCCCACGGAGGAAACCAGGGUGGAGAGGCCUCGCACCCGUGGAGAGCUGUGUCCCCCUGUACGUGUGUCCUGCCGUGGCAGAGAGGCUUUUGAAGUCAGCCGCUCGGUCCCCGACGCUGGAAGGAGUGAGGAGAGCGAAGCUCAGGUAGAAGCCGGGGGGCAGGGCGUCCCACCCGCUGCUGGAGGCUGUUCUCACUCCGUGGCUGCAUCCGGGAACAGGCCCCCAGCAGUGGCCCGCGGGGCACCCUCGCAUCGCAUCCCUGCAUCCCUCUAGGCAAGAGGCGGGGUCCUGCCCGCUGGGGAGUUUGGGUCAAAUGCUCGAAAAAAUCACCACCACCAUCACAGGCUAGAGCUCAUUCGCUUAAGUUUGCUAAAUAUCUUUUUUUUUUUUUUUUUUUUGAACCUGUCUGCUUCUCUCAGACCUCUUUAAAAACGAAAGCAGGACACCUCGGGUUUCUUGAACGCCCAGCUCUGUUCCUUCCCCCUCUGGGGGACAUGCAGGCGACUUUGCCUCCCUCACCAAGUCUGGGCGAGUUUUCCAGAGCCAGCACCACGCGGGAUGAAGCGCUGUGCAGCCUAAGCUGGGCGCUCCCGUCCCUGCAGGCCCCCCGGGUCCCUCCCCCCAGACAACCCAGGCAGGCUCAGCUGCUGCUGUCGGUUUCAACUGCACCCAGAUCCACGUAGCAGGGGCUGCGUUAGCAGACGCUCAACAAGUAACCGCACCGCUUCACGGAGUGAAAAUGUAAAGCGUCCGUGGGAAAGUCCGACCGCGCAGCUUCUCCCGGCUCCCGCACCUCAGUCCUGGGUGCCCGCGGAUCGCUGCUGAGAAGGAGGCCAGAGCUCACGUCAUCAGCGGACGUACCACCUGCUUCAUUCCCGAAGCCUCUCUCACAUCGCACUUUUUCUGGCCGUAUUGAUGGCUUGGUGGACAGGCUUAUACAGUAAAGCGAAACGAUGGCCCUUGGAAGAGCGGCGGACUGGGCUACCCCGGGUAGGUGUCCCCGCCCUCCCGGCCGUCUGGUGGCUGAACAGCAACCCGAGGAGUCCGUGAGAUUCCUCCCCGCUGCGGAGGCCGGGCUGUCCGGGGGCAGCUUCUGACUCACCAGACGCGUUUCAUCACCAAACUGUGCUCCAGGUGACUCCCCACCCACAGGCCCCCAUCAGGGUUUCCUAGGAAACUGCCCGGAAGCCUGGCGGGGGCGCUUCAGGCGCCCGCCCGCGCCGGCCGCUAGGUGGCAGUGUGGCGCCGCGGGACUGGCCGCUCGGGGAAGCCAGCCCGUCUACAAGUCCGGAUCUGGGCUCACGGGCGCCUGCCAGUUGUCACAGAUCGCCUUGUGGGAGGGGGCGGCUGAGGGCAGGAAGGGGCACCCUGCCUGCGUUCGUCCCUGCAGACCCCUGGGCGCGGAGGGAAAGCGUCCCCGCGGUCCAGGCCUGGUGGGUGGUUCACCGCGCGGCCGACGGAUGCCCCUCACAUUCCUGAUGCUGAGCGCGCGGGGCCGGCAGCCGCCCCCUGCUCUGCUCUCGGGCAGCAGACCUCCCAGCGUGAUCACGCGGGGCCUCAGGGUCUGGGAAUCAAGGCCCCCUUGACUGAGUGUGCCUCCUGUGGAAGAAAGCGCUUCCUUUCUCAAGGGGGGCGGGGGGUGGUGAGAGAUCAAGGAUUAUGAGAACAGCUACAACCCUCCCCAUCCCUUCCCGCUCCUGCGCGCACCCCACCCUCCAGAUGGGUGGCGGGCGUGUGGCCGGAAACGCAAGGCCGGUGUUCAAGGCAGAGGGGUUUGCUGCACUGACACCCAAGUGCUUCUGCAAACGAGCAGCGUCAGGCCCCGCAGACCCAUUGGCAGGAAGACCUCUGGGCCCAAACCCAAGCCAAGUCCGGAAAAGAGUGGGAGGUGGGGAGACGGCUUCAGAGGAUCCUAAAUGAGGGUCGAGGGGUUCCCUGGCCGAGGCGCUAAAGCCGGAAUGAGGAUUUCCACCAAACGGCUGAAGGAGAACGAGGCAACGCGACAUCCUUCCGGUUGUGGGGAAGCAGGCAGAUACUCAAGAAGCAAAGAGCAGGGUCUGAACUCCCUGCGGGGCACCCACCCCAGGGCCCCCCCUCCGCCCCCCGAGCUGCCGGAAUUCCUGAGAUCACACUGAGCACGCCCAGGCCAUAGACGGAAUUUAUUAGGAUUUGCGGAAGCAUGAGAGGAUGUACCACAAAAGAGCUUGACUUUACAACAUGAAGUACGGUAUCAAUGCAGUGUUGUCAGCAAAACUGGGAUACAGAGCAGAAGUUCACAUUUUUUAAAGGUGAUGGACGACAUCUACUCUUGUCCUUAAAAUAAAAACGGGGGGACCAGCAGAGGCCCAUCUGAUUUGCAGUUAGCGUCAGAAUCUAAAUCUAGUAUCACAGUUAUAAGAAACUAUAAGAAAACUAUUAGAAAAACAGAACAUCAAACAAGCAAAAAUAUUAUACAAUUUACAUAAUAAAAAACACACAAUUCUCUUAAUAAUGGCUCCACGUUCAGUAGAAGAAAAAGUGUACUGAAGAAACCACAGCUCUUCAGGUUUGAUUAGAAACCAACCCUCAAGAAGAUCAUCACCCUCUGUGCUCCUUAGACCCAUCAAGGCUGAAAGGCACAACGUAAGCAGGAAACUUAUCUUAAAUAUAUAACUUCUCCAAUGGGAAAAUAAGCCCCAAACUUAAAAAGUUUGUCAUCAAGAAACACAAAAUCAUAUACCUUGUUAAUAAUUUAACAAAGUCUGAAUGCAUCUUCCCAGCCCUCCUCCCUGACUCUGUUUGGAGAAAUCCCAUUUGGACUUCAAGCCAAGGUCUUUCAUCUCAUGGGGGUUUUCAGCAGUUCAACACAUUUACAGGGUGGGCCAGGGGGGCUCCGGAGAACUGCGCCCCGAGACCCUUGGCCAGUCCACGCCCCUCUUGAAAGAGCACUGUCACCCAGCGAAGCAACGGGCACAGACUGGGCCAUAGUGAUGAACAGGAAGGUCAGUUGACUUUUGUUUUCUGCCUUAACCUCCCAUUAGGUAUUGUAACUACGAUGAUGAGAUACAGAAUGUAUGUAGCUUCUUGCACCACUGGACCAAUAAAGCAUUU